GUGACGGAUCGCAUCCUGCCAGCUGGCUAAUAUUGUAAUUAACAAAGUUGCAACCACAUCGGAGAAGUUUAAUCGAAAAAUUUGCCGGCACUAUGAUGGCAUUGUCCCAGAGAUCACAAGCUAGGCAGACACGACUUUCGCUCUGGGAGAAGGAGAGAUGAGGAAGUCUGAACUUGUCCAGCCUGAGCUUCUCAAGCACCUCUUAAGCUUCGUUAAUGAGGUCCGUUGUGGAAUAUCUGGUGCAUUCCCAUGUUGGGAAUAAAAAUCUCGCCCCCUUGAAGCUCUGACUGAGAAGUCAACAAAGGCUGACUACAUUCAUCUUUGCUUCUUAGGUUGAAAUCUACAUCACCCAUGGAAAAGAUCAUUUCUGCUAGAGAUUUAAAAAUUUGAUUUGGAAAAUCAUUUGGAAAGUGUAAACCAUGUUGUUUCCCAAACAAGAAAGAAAAUACCUGGGCAUAUCCCUCAACAGAUGAAAUCUUGAUUGGAAUGACAUUUGUGUGGUCACUUUCUGGAGCCCAAGGACUGCUGUCUUUCUCGGAGGUUGUGCAUAACAUUGAAGGGGCUCCUACAAGAGAGCGUUGAGUCUGAAUUGCCAGUCCCCAAAGGCCUGGUUAUGAUUGAAGCUGUGCUUGCUCUGGAGAGCUGUGCACGUAAAGGCCAGGAGGGCAAAAGUUUGGGUAAUUCACUCCCAAGAACAGAUGAACAAGGAGAACAGGUACUCUGA
This 724-nucleotide long non-coding RNA is filed under the name Vombatus ursinus (common wombat). RNAcentral describes it as "lncRNA (ENSVURG00010024141.1)". The stretch from base 1 to 186 matches the Rfam family "Rhabdomyosarcoma 2 associated transcript conserved region 6". Lineage: Eukaryota; Metazoa; Chordata; Mammalia; Diprotodontia; Vombatidae. The record is from RNAcentral.